AGUGAACGCUGGCGGCGUGCCUAAUACAUGCAAGUCGAACGGACGAGUAAGAGCUUGCUCUUAUGAGUUAGUGGCGCACGGGUGAGUAAUGUAUAGCUAAUCUGCCCUACACUAGAGGACAACAGUUGGAAACGACUGCUAAUACUCUAUACUCCUCUCUAGCAUAAGUUAGAUAGGGAAAGUUUUUUGGUGUAGGAUGAGGCUAUAUUGUAUCAGCUAGUUGGUGAGGUAAUGGCUCACCAAGGCUAUGACGCAUAACUGGUCUGAGAGGAUGAUCAGUCACACUGGAACUGAGACACGGUCCAGACUCCUACGGGAGGCAGCAGUAGGGAAUAUUGCUCAAUGGGGGAAACCCUGAAGCAGCAACGCCGCGUGGAGGAUGACACUUUUCGGAGCGUAAACUCCUUUUGUUAGGGAAGAACAAUGACGGUACCUAACGAAUAAGCACCGGCUAACUCCGUGCCAGCAGCCGCGGUAAUACGGAGGGUGCAAGCGUUACUCGGAAUCACUGGGCGUAAAGGACGCGUAGGCGGAUUAUCAAGUCUCUUGUGAAAUCCUAUGGCUUAACCAUAGAACUGCUUGGGAAACUGAUAAUCUAGAGUGAGGGAGAGGCAGAUGGAAUUGGUGGUGUAGGGGUAAAAUCCGUAGAGAUCACCAGGAAUACCCAUUGCGAAGGCGAUCUGCUGGAACUCAACUGACGCUAAUGCGUGAAAGCGUGGGGAGCAAACAGG
Molecule: ribosomal RNA, 731 nt
Filed under: uncultured Campylobacter sp.
Lineage: Bacteria; Pseudomonadati; Campylobacterota; Epsilonproteobacteria; Campylobacterales; Campylobacteraceae
Description: bacterial SSU rRNA
Rfam family: Bacterial small subunit ribosomal RNA
Source: RNAcentral